Molecule: ribosomal RNA, 264 nt
Filed under: uncultured archaeon
Lineage: Archaea
Description: partial 16S ribosomal RNA
Rfam family: Archaeal small subunit ribosomal RNA
Source: RNAcentral
AGACGUCUACAUUAGAUACCCCGUAGUCCCAGCCGUAAACAAUGUGCGUUAGGUGUGUCGGUAACCACGUGUUACUGAUGCGCCGAAGAGAAAUCGUGAAACGCACCACCUGGGAAGUACGGUCGCAAGGCUGAAACUUAAAGGAAUUGGCGGGGGAGCACCACAACAGGUGGAGCCUGCGGUUUAAUUGGAUUCAACGCCGGACAUCUCACCGGAUAAGACAGCUGAAUGAUUGUCAAUCUGAAGGUUUUACAUGACUAGCUG